Long non-coding RNA from Saccostrea cuccullata (small rock oyster), 302 nucleotides. RefSeq lists it as uncharacterized. Lineage: Eukaryota; Metazoa; Mollusca; Bivalvia; Ostreida; Ostreidae. The transcript has 3 exons. The record is from RefSeq and is a predicted model, not a curated record.
AGGAAAUCAGGGUGGUAUGGGGCGAAGGCCGAGAGGAUUUUAACUGUUCCCUUCAAGAUGUCUUUGAAAUAGAGAUCGAGAGAUACUUGAAGUGGUGUGGUAGUCCCCGACCGAUCCCCAUUGCAAUGUCCCUUGCAAGAUUUUCCUAAUGAAGAUUCUCAGGAUUACAGAUCCUCUAGCAAGGAGAUCAGACAGAUAGAAAUGACCACAGCAGAGGACAUACACCCCCCCCCUCCAAGCAAAAGAUAAUUCACAGUGGACUGGAAGUAAUUUUUACAUGAAAAAUACAAAGUAGAAAAAAG